GACAAAAAACCAUAUGAAAGAUAAUGUAAUUGAAUUAUUUUAGUAUCAAAUUGCAUCGAAUAAUAUUAUUUUUCAUUAUUUCAAGAAAUGUUUACACAUUUUUUUCGGUUUUUUUUUAUCGACGCAUUUUUGACAGCCGAUUCCCCAUUUUUGGGGGGUCAAUUCCCCACUUUUGUCAGCCAAUUUCCCCAUUUUUGACAACCAAAUUUUACCAUUUUUGACAACCAAAUGCACCAUUUUUGACAACCAAACACACCAUUUUUGACAGCCAAUUCCCCAUUUUUGACAACCAAACGCACGAUUUUUGACAGCCAAUUCCCUAUUUUUGGGGGGCCAAUUCCCCAUUCUUAUACACCAAAACCAUUUUACCUUUUGAUAUGGUCGGGGUCGGGUCGUUUUUUCAACCUUUAAACAAUGUAAUGAUGCCUAGUUUUGGACCAAAAUUAACAAAACCGGUCGGGGAACAACAAUCCGUUCAGAUAGUGAGAUUUGGGCCACCCUAGUCUACCCCCUAAGAAAUAUGUUUUAUUUUCAUUUCAUUCAUUUAUUCAUCCUAAUUGUUUGAAAAUUCACCAGUGACAAGUGUUUGAUGGCAAAUGACGAUAACCACCAAUUUUUGAUCGAUAUUGGUUGAGCGAAAAUAUGUUUAUAUUAACUUAUACCAUGAAAAGAGAAGAAAAAUGUUCAUUGCAAUAAAAUGUGGCUUGCAAACAAUACUUCGACCCGAGCAUGCAGCAGUUGUGACGCAAAUAUUGUUUGAGUGCAGUCUUCAAAUGACGAAAGUUGCCUCAUUGGCCUCACUGAAUGAAGCAAGGUGAAUGAAGUACUCGAUAAUGAAGAUCGUCACCAAACCAGAGCGAAAAUGAAACGAAAAUGUGCAUUCAAAGGCAGACAAUUUUGUGGGCAAAAAAUACGUUAUUGGCAUCGAUCCCAAUGAAAAAACGUGUUUGGCAAUAAUGCAUCCUGAAAACAUCUGUUGAGUAAAACAUCACAAUACCCAAGCUAUUCUACUGGGAAACUAGGCAGAAACGGAGGGAAAAAGUUGGCUGAAUGGUCUGAUAUCGAAGAAAAGAAUCAUCUGAAGACAUACCCAUUCGGUCCACCAUCACCGCGUAAUUCAACAUGGCAAUGGUAAAUUGAGUAUCGCAUCAAAAUGCUACGAAAAGGAAUGUCAGCAUAUGCACCGCGUAAAUAUUCACGACUGGAUUUUGAUCAUUACAUGAAGUCGAACGAAGUCAAUGAUAACAUGCCGUCAAUGAUUAUAUUUGGUGCAUCGGAGAUGCCAUCCAAUCGGCCAUUUGGUUUGAAGAGACAGAAAAGAUGUCCAGGAUCGCGGAAAUUUUUUGGUGAGCGUCAAGAAACUUGGCCAUUCAGUGGUGAAAAUGGAAGAUGAAUAGGGAACAUCAAAAACAUGCGCGAAUUGUUAAGAACAAUUUCCAGUGAACGCGAAAUCGCAUCGAUUUAAAGUGUGCUAGGGUUGCAAAGCGAAACCGAUUGCUGGACUACCGGACUCAGUCACUAGUCUACCACAUAAAAUUGUGGCAACGUUUAGGUUUGUAAAAAGGGCAGAAGAAAAUUAAGCAUCGAAUUCGCAAUGGCAAUUAUCAGGAUGUUGGCGAAAUACUUCGGAAUGAGCGUUUAAUGUCAAAGGUUAAAGUUACCAACAAAAAUUGGCCAUUGAAUGUUCAGUAUGAAGAUGCAUUAUGCUCAAGGGUAUGAAUCAAUUGAAUCUAUUCAUUGUUUAAUGUUUUUGCUUCUAAUUACACAGGACUUUGUCGGAUGUUUGGCGUACUAGUGCCUGAUUUGUUGAGAGGACCACCAAAUGCAAACAAUGGCAACUGACAAACAGCAGCAUUCAAUCCAAAAAUUGUUUAAAAUGAAUAUUAUAACGAUUAGUUGCAUGGCUAGACUUGCGUUUUGUUGCCGAAGUACGAAGGGACUUAUUGAAUGGUGUAUUGAUGUUGAUUCAUAGUCAACUUUCUAACUGAAUUUUGUUUUUUUCUUUCUUUUGCAACGUUGAAAAUGACGGAAAUGACGCUCAAACAUGGGACCAAAUUCUAC
Long non-coding RNA from Contarinia nasturtii (swede midge), 2061 nucleotides. RefSeq lists it as uncharacterized. The record is from RefSeq and is a predicted model, not a curated record. NCBI's taxonomy places the organism in Eukaryota, Metazoa, Arthropoda, Insecta, Diptera, Cecidomyiidae. The transcript has 3 exons.